CCCAGGCAAUAAUUCCAUACUUUAUCAGCGAUUGGCAUAGAGCAUUAUAUAUCUGCAUUAGCCUUUCUAUUUCCAAAUACUUUUUAAGAUGUCUAUCGAUGGUAAUGCCGAGAUACUUGAUGGAGUCAGUUUCGGGUAUAAUUGUGCAAUCGUUGACUUUCAGAGGACCCAAGUUCGGAAGACCUGACUCAUAGGAAGUAAACGGUUUGGAUCUACCGCAGAGGUUAUCCACGUAAGACCAAAGUGAUUUUGUUGCUGAAGUGUAUUUCGUGACAAAGGUGUUCAUGUAAUCUCUUUUAGCAUUCCUGAUCAACUUGUGUAAAAUAUUUCUGUAUCUUGUAUAUUGUUGUUUCAACUCAGUAUUGUAUUGAUAUUUCAUCAUUUCCUUGUAUAAAUAGUUUUUUCUGUUUAUGGCUUUUAGUAAUCCCUGAGUGAUCCAGUUGCUUCUCCCAGAUUUCCUAUGGCUCAACUCAAUUUUUGUUGUAUGUUUCUGUGUGUAAUGUUUUAAUAAAUCAAUAAACAAUUCUGCGAAUGAG
This is a long non-coding RNA of Harmonia axyridis, 536 nucleotides long. RefSeq lists it as uncharacterized. The transcript has 3 exons. NCBI's taxonomy places the organism in Eukaryota, Metazoa, Arthropoda, Insecta, Coleoptera, Coccinellidae. The record is from RefSeq and is a predicted model, not a curated record.